AAAACCCUCAAGAAACCCUAGAAUUACAAAAGGAAUAUCUUCCAAAAAUAAUCCCCAAAUUACAAACAAAAUGUGAGUUCAAAAUUUCUGAACCCACUGAUAAUGGUGAACUAUUACAAAAAGAAGAACUAUUCAUUCAAAAUUUGAAUACUAAUUCUUCUAAUUCAUCCAGCUUAAACUCUGAAAUCAAAUCUGAAGAAAAUACAAAAAAUGUCAACAUGCUUUUAAAAAAUCAAGAAUUGAUCUUGAUGUUUUA
Molecule: unclassified non-coding RNA, 256 nt
Filed under: Hevea brasiliensis (rubber tree)
Lineage: Eukaryota; Viridiplantae; Streptophyta; Magnoliopsida; Malpighiales; Euphorbiaceae
Source: RNAcentral